AGAGUUUGAUCCUGGCUCAGGAUGAACGCUGGCGGCGUGUUUAACACAUGCAAGUCGAGCGAGAAGCUCUCGAGUUGAUUCUUCGGAUGAAACAUGAGAGUGGAAAGCGGCGGACGGGUGAGUAACGCGUAGGCAACCUGCCCCUUGCAGAGGGAUAGCCUCGGGAAACCGGGAUUAAAACCUCAUAAUGCGGCACUGUGACAUCGCAGAGCCGCCAAAGAUUUAUCGGCAAGGGAUGGGCCUGCGUCUGAUUAGCUAGUUGGUGGGGUAACGGCCUACCAAGGCAACGAUCAGUAGCCGACCUGAGAGGGUGAUCGGCCACAUUGGAACUGAGACACGGUCCAAACUCCUACGGGAGGCAGCAGUGGAGAAUCUUGCACAAUGGGGGAAACCCUGAUGCAGCAACGCCGCGUGAAGGAUGAAGGCCCUUGGGUCGUAAACUUCUGUUCUAAGGGAAGAUAAUGACGGUACCUUAGGAGCAAGUCCCGGCUAACUACGUGCCAGCAGCCGCGGUAAUACGUAGGGGGCGAGCGUUAUCCGGAAUUAUUGGGCGUAAAGAGUACGUAGGUGGUUUCCUAAGCAUGGGGUUUAAGGCAAAGGCUUAACCAUUGUUCGCCCCAUGAACUGGGUUACUUGAGUGCUGGAGGGGAAAGCGGAAUUCCUAGUGUAGCGGUGAAAUGCGUAGAGAUUAGGAAGAACACCGGUGGCGAAGGCGGCUUUCUGGACUGUAACUGACGCUGAGGCUCGAAAGCGUGGGUAGCGAACAGGAUUAGAUACCCGAGGUAGUCCCACGCCGAAAACGAAGAAUAAUAGGUGUCGGGGCCCACAGGGCUUCGGUGCCGCAGCUAACGCAAUAAGCAUUCCGCCUGGGGAGUACGGCCGCAAGGUUGAAACUCAAAGGAAUUUGACGGGGGCCCGCACAAGCAGCGGAGCAUGUGGUUUAAUUCGACGCAACGCGAAGAACCUUACCAGGUCUUGACAUCCAGUUAAAGCAGUAGAGAUAUUGUGUGCCCUUCGGGGCGAACUGAGACAGGUGGUGCAUGGUUGUCGUCAGCUCGUGUCGUGAGAUGUUGGGUUAAGUCCCGCAACGAGCGCAACCCUUGUCUUCAGUUACCAUCAUUAAGUUGGGGACUCUGGAGAGACUGCCGGUGAUAAACCGGAGGAAGGUGGGGAUGACGUCAAAUCAUCAUGCCCCUUAUGGCCUGGGCUACACACGUACUACAAUGGCUAUUACAACGUGCAGCGACCUGGUGACAGGAAGCGAAACACUGAAAGAUAGUCUCAGUUCGGAUUGAAGUCUGCAACUCGACUUCAUGAAGUUGGAAUCGCUAGUAAUCGCGGAUCAGCAUGCCGCGGUGAAUACGUUCCCGGGCCUUGCACACACCGCCCGUCA
RNAcentral lists this ribosomal RNA (1393 nucleotides) under uncultured bacterium. RNAcentral describes it as "partial 16S ribosomal RNA". It matches the Rfam family "Bacterial small subunit ribosomal RNA". The record is from RNAcentral.